GGGCGAGUGGCGAAAUUGGUAGACGCACACGCUUCAGGGGCGUGCGAGAGUAAUCUCAUGGGAGUUCGACUCUCCCCUCGCCCA
RNAcentral lists this transfer RNA (84 nucleotides) under bacterium. RNAcentral describes it as "tRNA-Leu". It matches the Rfam family "tRNA". Rfam says of the family: Transfer RNA (tRNA) molecules are approximately 80 nucleotides in length. Their secondary structure includes four short double-helical elements and three loops (D, anti-codon, and T loops). Further hydrogen bonds mediate the characteristic L-shaped molecular structure. tRNAs have two regions of fundamental functional importance: the anti-codon, which is responsible for specific mRNA codon recognition, and the 3' end, to which the tRNAs corresponding amino acid is attached (by aminoacyl-tRNA synthetases). tRNAs cope with the degeneracy of the genetic code in two manners: having more than one tRNA (with a specific anti-codon) for a particular amino acid; and 'wobble' base-pairing, i.e. permitting non-standard base-pairing at the 3rd anti-codon position. RNAcentral also lists the same sequence under 1 other name. The record is from RNAcentral.